This 174-nucleotide long non-coding RNA is filed under the name Dermacentor andersoni. Its description in RNAcentral is "uncharacterized LOC126532387". Lineage: Eukaryota; Metazoa; Arthropoda; Arachnida; Ixodida; Ixodidae. The record is from RNAcentral.
AAAAAAAAAGAAAACGGCGAAUAGGGUCUUCUUAAUUACGUUUGACUUCCUGACAGAGGAGGGAGCUGCUCCUUUCUGGAUGAACUAUUUGCCAUGCCGGACAGCUAGGGAAGAUAUUGGAAAGUUCAUUGGCUGCCCCUGAAAGCGCCCAAUAAAUUGUUUUUGAUGCCGACA